UACAGAGGUCUCAAGCGUUGUUCGGAUUCAUUGGGCGUAAAGGGUGCGUAGGCGGCGCGGUAAGUCGGGUGUGAAAUCUCGGGGCUUAACUCCGAAACUGCAUUCGAUACUGCCGUGCUUGAGGACUGGAGAGGAGACUGGAAUUUACGGUGUAGCGGUGAAAUGCGUAGAUAUCUGGAGGAACACCGGUGGCGAAGGCGGCAUCCUGGACCGGCAUUGACGCUGAGGCGCGAAAGCCAGGGGAGCGAACGGG
Molecule: ribosomal RNA, 253 nt
Filed under: uncultured bacterium
Lineage: Bacteria
Description: partial 16S ribosomal RNA
Rfam family: Bacterial small subunit ribosomal RNA
Source: RNAcentral